UUCAGAUAUGGCGAUCUGGUCCCACUCAGCCCUCAGGGAAAGAUCGUCGGCUCCAUGUGCGCGCUGAUUGGAGUGCUUACGCUUGCUCUGCCCGUGCCCAUCAUUGUAAGUCUC
Non-coding RNA from Ancylostoma duodenale, 114 nucleotides. NCBI's taxonomy places the organism in Eukaryota, Metazoa, Nematoda, Chromadorea, Rhabditida, Ancylostomatidae. The record is from Rfam.